Molecule: ribosomal RNA, 429 nt
Filed under: Chloroflexota bacterium
Lineage: Bacteria; Bacillati; Chloroflexota
Description: Chloroflexi bacterium partial 16S ribosomal RNA
Rfam family: Bacterial small subunit ribosomal RNA
Source: RNAcentral
UGGGGAAUAUUGCACAAUGGGCGCAAGCCUGAUGCAGCCAUGUCGCGUGUAUGAAGAAGGCCUUCGGGUUGUAAAGUACUUUCAGUCGGGAGGAAGGUGUCAAGGUUAAUAACCUUGGCAAUUGACGUUACCGACAGAAGAAGCACCGGCUAACUCCGUGCCAGCAGCCGCGGUAAUACGGAGGGUGCAAGCGUUAAUCGGAAUUACUGGGCGUAAAGCGCACGCAGGCGGUUGAUUGAGUCAGAUGUGAAAUCCCCGGGCUUAACCCGGGAAUUGCAUCUGAUACUGGUCAGCUAGAGUCUUGUAGAGGGGGGUAGAAUUCCAUGUGUAGCGGUGAAAUGCGUAGAGAUGUGGAGGAAUACCGGUGGCGAAGGCGGCCCCCUGGACAAAGACUGACGCUCAGGUGCGAAAGCGUGGGGAGCAAACAGG